UGAGGAAUUUUCCGCAAUGGGCGAAAGCCUGACGGAGCAAUGCCGCGUGAAGGAUGAAGGCCCGUGGGUUGUAAACUUCUUUUCUUGGAGACGAAGUUCUGACGGUAUUCAAGGAAUAAGCAUCGGCUAACUCUGUGCCAGCAGCCGCGGUAAUACAGAGGAUGCAAGCGUUAUCCGGAUUUAUUGGGCGUAAAGCGUCCUGAGGUGGCCUGCCAAGUCUUCUGUAAAAGAGUAGGGCUCAACCCUAGAGAUGCGGUGGAAACUAGCAGGCUGGAGUAUGGUAGGGGCAGAGGGAAUUCCCGGUGUAGCGGUGAAAUGCAUAGAUAUCGGGAAGAACACCAAUGGCGAAAGCACUCUGCUGGGCCAAUACUGACACUGAAAGACGAAAGCUAGGGGAGCA
RNAcentral lists this ribosomal RNA (400 nucleotides) under uncultured bacterium. RNAcentral describes it as "bacterial SSU rRNA". It matches the Rfam family "Bacterial small subunit ribosomal RNA", at positions 355 to 770 of the family's 1533-position model. The record is from RNAcentral.